AAUCUACCUCCGAAUUGGGGAUAACAUUGCGAAAGCGAUGCUAAUACCGAAUAAUAUCUUUUUAGCCCCGGCUUAAAAGAUCAAAGGUGGUCACUACAUGUAAACUACUGUUUGGAGAUGAGCCCGCGCACCAUUAGCUUGUUGGUAGGGUAAUGGCUUACCAAGGCUUCGAUGGUUAGCUGGUCUGAGAGGAUGAUCAGCCACACUGGAACUGACACACGGUCCAG
This 227-nucleotide ribosomal RNA is filed under the name uncultured bacterium. Its description in RNAcentral is "partial 16S ribosomal RNA". It matches the Rfam family "Bacterial small subunit ribosomal RNA", at positions 123 to 334 of the family's 1533-position model. The record is from RNAcentral.